RNAcentral lists this ribosomal RNA (565 nucleotides) under Ruvettus pretiosus (oilfish). Its description in RNAcentral is "partial 16S ribosomal RNA". It matches the Rfam family "Bacterial large subunit ribosomal RNA", at positions 1848 to 2609 of the family's 2925-position model. The record is from RNAcentral. Lineage: Eukaryota; Metazoa; Chordata; Actinopteri; Scombriformes; Gempylidae.
AGAGGUCCAGCCUGCCCUGUGACUAUAUGUUUAACGGCCGCGGUAUUUUAACCGUGCGAAGGUAGCGCAAUCACUUGUCUUUUAAAUGGAGACCUGUAUGAAUGGCAUAACGAGGGCUUAACUGUCUCCUUUUUCAAGUCAAUGAAAUUGAUCUCCCCGUGCAGAAGCGGGGAUACACCCAUAAGACGAGAAGACCCUAUGGAGCUUAAGACGCCAAGGCAUAUCAUGUUAAACACCCCUAAACAAAGGGCCAAACCAAGUGAUAACGUAUGCCCUAAUGUCUUUGGUUGGGGCGACCGCGGGGAAACAAAAAACCCCCACGUGGAAUGGGAGCACCCCUCCUACAACCAAGAGCUGCAGCUCUAAUAAACAGAAUUUCUGACCAACAAGAUCCGGCAACGCCGAUCAACGGACCGAGUUACCCUAGGGAUAACAGCGCAAUCCCCUUUAAGAGCCCAUAUCGACAAGGGGGUUUACGACCUCGAUGUUGGAUCAGGACAUCCUAAUGGUGCAGCCGCUAUUAAGGGUUCGUUUGUUCAACGAUUAAAGUCCUACGUGAUCUGAG